CAGUAGCCACGGUAAUACGUAGGGUGCAAGCGUUAAUCGGAAUUACUGGGCGUAAAGCGUGCGCAGGCGGUUUGUUAAGUCUGUUGUGAAAUCCCCGGGCUCAACCUGGGAAUGGCAAUGGAUACUGGCAAGCUAGAGUGUGUCAGAGGAUGGUGGAAUUCCCGGUGUAGCGGUGAAAUGCGUAGAGAUCGGGAGGAACAUCAGUGGCGAAGGCGGCCAUCUGGACAACACUGACGCUGAGGCACGAAAGCGUGGGGAGCAAACAGGAUUAGAUACCCCCGUAGUCCCUGUCUCUUAUACA
RNAcentral lists this ribosomal RNA (301 nucleotides) under uncultured bacterium. RNAcentral describes it as "partial 16S ribosomal RNA". It matches the Rfam family "Bacterial small subunit ribosomal RNA", at positions 509 to 808 of the family's 1533-position model. The record is from RNAcentral.